CGCGGAGCACGGGAACAAGGCAUCGAUCGCUCGGCAUCACUUAAACUGGAAAAGACGCCGAGGUCAUCGAGUCUAAUCUGUGACCGAACACCAUGUCAACUAGACCAUGGCACUACGUCCAGUCCUUCGUUAAACACCUCCAAGAACGGUGACUCUACUACUACUCUGGGCAGCCCCAUUCCAAACUUUAAUCACCCCUUCUGUGAAAGCGUUCCUCCUGAUGCCCUCCCCUGGCACAGCUUGAGGCCAUUUCCUCUUGUCGUGUCCCUGGCUGCCUGGAAGAAGUGACCGACCCCGACCGACCUCGACCUUCCUUCAGACAGUUGUGGAGAGUGGAUGCAGGAGUGCAGAAAAAUCCAAGCAGUUCUUGCCUGCACUCUCCCCAGAGCCACAAAAAGCUGAAAGCUCCUCCAAUCCCAGAUCACAGAGCGAGAAGCCUCUCUACUCCCCUGUCACAGAGACUUUUCUGGGACAGCUUUUCUGGCUCUCCCGGUACCUGUGGCCCUCGACAAAGGCCUUUGUCCCUCACCUGUGAACAUCUUCACAAAGUCAGCACUCGACAUGCUCAUGACCACAUCAGCUGUCACGGGAGCCUUUCCGAAGCCAGCGCUCCCACCCUUGGUCUUCAGGUCAAUAUACCAAGUGCCUCCACCGUCGCCUGGACAGAGAGCGAAGCGCGGUGAGAAGGCAGCAAGCACUGCCGCGCCCUCCCUCUCUGUCGCCCCGCCAGACGCCCGCGGCCUCGUGCGUUUGCAGCGGCUCCGUGGCAGCCCGCACGCUGGCGGGGCUCUGCAAGGAGUCACCUCUCGUCCCCCGUGACGCCCCAAGCGCCGCGGGCUGGGGCCGCGGGCAGGAGAGCCCAGAGGCCGCGCUCUGCUCCAGAGCCGUUGGCAGCUGGCGCUUCUGCCGUGGCCCCGAGAGCGCCCCGAGCGCGGCCACAGCAGCGCCGGGACAGAGGGACAGCAGCGCCCGGGGCUGCUCCAGCGGGCCUGCGGCACCAGCGUCACAGGAACUGAACAGGAGCCCGCCUGCUUCGGGACCAGCUUCAAAGCGUUUCUGUCUGAAAACACCGGGGCCUUUGCCAGGCAAGGCUGCACAAGCGGUGGGCUUACCAGAGAGCUCAAACUGAAAGACACCCUGAGUACUUCUCACGUACUCCUCAGUCACUGCCCCUUGAAUAACUCGGAACGUCUCUGCAACAGGACCCGAUGGCAUGGCUGCAGCAGAUUCUGUCUUUGCCUUGGCCGCAUCUGCUCCUUCCUGCUGGGAUCUGCUUAAUUUCUUCUCCUCUUUGGCAGCACCUAUGAGAAAGAUUACUUUUCUCUUUCAAAUGCAAACCACUUUAAAAGUGUAUGUAGAACCAAAAGCAGAGAACUCCAUUUGAAAGAAUUUAAGCUUCAAAGUAGGGAAAGUGGUUCUUUUACUAUUUCAGUAUUAACACUGAUAAAGGAUAAUUUCUCCACCAGGAAUCUGAAUAGUUGUACAUCGCUAAAUGUAAUUCUGUGAUAAAUUUUGAUUCCUGACAGAGCAAAAGAAAAGCAAAAUAAAACCACAGCAAAAUUCUAAUUUUGACUGCUUACAAGUCAUUAUGGCCAUUCACACAACAGUUUUCUAAUGUAAUCCAUACACAACUACACAACAUUAAAAAUAAAAAAUCAUUGUCUUUAA
Melospiza melodia melodia is the source of this 1668-nucleotide long non-coding RNA. RefSeq lists it as uncharacterized. The record is from RefSeq and is a predicted model, not a curated record. The transcript has 2 exons. NCBI's taxonomy places the organism in Eukaryota, Metazoa, Chordata, Aves, Passeriformes, Passerellidae.